UAUUGCACAAUGGGCGAAAGCCUGAUGCAGCAACGCCGCGUGAGCGAUGAAGGCCUUCGGGUCGUAAAGCUCUGUCCUCAAGGAAGAUACUGACGGUACUUGAGGAGGAAGCGCCGGCAAACUACGUGGCAGCAGCCGCGGUAAUACGUAGGGGGCUAGCGUUAUCCGGAAUUACUGGGCGUAAAGGGUGCGUGGGUUGUUUCUUAAGUCAGAGGUGAAAGGCUACGGCUCAACCGUAGUAAGCCUUUGAAACUGGGAAACUUGAGUGCAGGAGAGGAGAGUGGAAUUCCUAGUGUAGCGGUGAAAUGCGUAGAUAUUAGGAGGAACACCAGUUGCAAAGGCGGCUCUCUGGACUGUAACUGACACUGAGGCACGAAAGCGUGGGGAGCAAA
This 392-nucleotide ribosomal RNA is filed under the name uncultured bacterium. RNAcentral's name for it is "bacterial SSU rRNA". It matches the Rfam family "Bacterial small subunit ribosomal RNA", at positions 362 to 772 of the family's 1533-position model. The record is from RNAcentral.